GGCUGUUAAAAAUUUAUGUAUUUUCAUUGAUAACUGAAAAUUAUGCAGAAGAAAGAAUUUUAAUCUGUAAAUCUACUAAAUGGAGAAUGGAGUGAAGUGGAUGAGUGAACACUUUGACAAUGCAAGGAUGAAUGCUGCAUUCAGCGAAGAGGGCAAAACACUGGUCCCAACUUCUCUGUCUCCAUGUCAGCUCCUAAGAAUCAAAUUCCUUGGAGACCUAGUCAUGGACUUCCCUGGGCCUUUCCUACUGGUGGAUUACAGACACAUAGUCACCAAUGUUAGAUAAUACCAUUAUCAUGGUUACAGCUAAACAAGCACGCUGACCAUGAAGACAACUUUGGAUUGCAUGCAUAAUGUCAUGAAUUUUUAAGUCUUGUUCUCAAAUUUAUAGCAGCAUAAAAUUUGAACCACAGAAGAUGUUUAAAGUUUUAUUCCCAUAUUAUUGUAUUUGUUUCAAAGCUGGCCAUCUGGGAUUCUGCUCCUGCCUAGAAAUAACCUCCAUUUACCAAAUUCCAAGAUGAGACAUUU
RNAcentral lists this long non-coding RNA (528 nucleotides) under Aotus nancymaae (Ma's night monkey). RNAcentral describes it as "lncRNA (ENSANAG00000039051.1)". Lineage: Eukaryota; Metazoa; Chordata; Mammalia; Primates; Aotidae. The record is from RNAcentral.